RNAcentral lists this ribosomal RNA (410 nucleotides) under uncultured Corynebacterium sp. RNAcentral describes it as "bacterial SSU rRNA". It matches the Rfam family "Bacterial small subunit ribosomal RNA", at positions 79 to 503 of the family's 1533-position model. Lineage: Bacteria; Bacillati; Actinomycetota; Actinomycetes; Mycobacteriales; Corynebacteriaceae. The record is from RNAcentral.
CUUGCAGGGUACUCGAGUGGCGAACGGGUGAGUAACACGUGGGUGAUCUGCCCUGCACUUCGGGAUAAGCUUGGGAAACUGGGUCUAAUACCGGAUAGGAACCAUCUUUAGUGUGGUGGUUGGAAAGUUUUUUCGGUGUAGGAUGAGCUCGCGGCCUAUCAGCUUGUUGGUGGGGUAAUGGCCUACCAAGGCGGCGACGGGUAGCCGGCCUGAGAGGGUGUACGGCCACAUUGGGACUGAGAUACGGCCCAGACUCCUACGGGAGGCAGCAGUGGGGAAUAUUGCACAAUGGGCGCAAGCCUGAUGCAGCGACGCCGCGUGGGGGAUGAAGGCCUUCGGGUUGUAAACUCCUUUCGCUAGGGACGAAGCUUUUUUGUGACGGUACCUAGAUAAGAAGCACCGGCUAACUA